Brassica napus (rape) is the source of this 2158-nucleotide long non-coding RNA. RefSeq lists it as uncharacterized. The record is from RefSeq and is a predicted model, not a curated record. The transcript is spliced from 7 exons. Lineage: Eukaryota; Viridiplantae; Streptophyta; Magnoliopsida; Brassicales; Brassicaceae.
GCUUUUAAAAUUGUUUGUGGCCCAUUUGAAAUCGUUUUGCUAUCUUCUUCAAUCGUGUCCGACGAUUCCCUUCCACAGCCAUGGUUUCCACUCUCUCCAAAUCUCUGUUACUCCGAAUAAUUGACUUUGAUGUUUACACUUUCAUUUAAGAUGUAUCGUCUCACCUCCUUUUUGUUUUCCUCAUAUAUUAUCUCUUUCUCGAUUCUUCAUAUACCCUAUCUACAACCUCUUCGGACGGAAAUCAAACUAUGGCCAUGAGAUCUGCUUAAUCGUACCGGAAAGUAUCAUGUUGCUGUAUAUUUCACUGACAUCUCCUCGGUCCAGCCGAGUCAGAACUAAGCUUUGAGCUUCUCCUUAUCGGCAAGCAGUGCAGCAAUGGCCCACAACUCGAAAUCUACAGCGUCAAUAGCACAACGAGUUUACUUCGAUAACAUAUUCCCCUCUUUGCGCGAACCGCUUUGGUUAUCAAAUCCACCAAGUCGGGUUGGUCAUCAGACUACCUUAUACUCAUUGAGGAAAAAGCAUUGGUUCAUAUUUUUUUUCCGUUCUUUGUUGUUUGUAAAUUUAUCUUUUGUUGUUUGUACAACAUCUAGAACAUGUGAUCAAGCCAACCUUUCCAGGCAUCCAUAUGAUUAUUAACAGAAAAUGUGAGAGCUGGAAUAUAAACUUAGUCGUCACGGAAAGCCUCUAGCAACUGAAACUGGGGUAAAAUUGUGUAUUUUUCUAUCUUUAAUUUCUAUUCUUAGAUAUUAAGAUUUGAUUACUGUUAAAAAAUUACUGUUAUGGUGCAGGGAAAGUUAUUACUUUUCGAUCAAAUAUUCAAGAAGCGUGUUGAUGGAGUGUAUGUCUUCGCCACUUUUGCUGCUAAUAUUUAUAGAUUUAAACCAUGAGUUGUUAUAGUAACUGAGUUCCUAUAACUCUUAACCAAUAUAAAGUGAAUCAGCAACAAAACAAAACAUGCAAUUACCAUCUUUCGUCUUUUUUUUGUGUGCUUCUUUUACUACCAGGUUCAUGCGACCUUGAUGGAUCUGGUUCACAAGUCUGUGAAUGAGAUGGUGGGAUUGAACCAAUACCAAACUCUGAGUGCGGCGAUGAAAAAUACAGCCAUAUAGUCAGUGAACAAGAAGUGGGAGCGAAGUAAGAACGCAACACUGCAGCUGGUGGACAUGGAGUGCAGUUACCUCACUGUUGAUUUCUUCAGGAAGCUCUCCACAGCUCUGAGAAUGCCGAGUGUUUUGCUCCGUUGUGGUCGGUGUGGUUCAGUCCAGAGAAUAUUGCUGAUGCUUAGACCAUAGACAGGAAGAGGAGAAGCGUUUUGUAAGGGAGCUAUUGAGGCAGAGAGGAAGCGCAAGAGAAGAAGAAGAAGAAAAGGUACAAGAGAGAGAAAAGUGUGAAGCUGGAGAGAGAAAAGCUGCUAGAGUGAGAGUGAGACAAGAAAAGGAACAUGCUGUUGGAAACAGAAUUUUGGAAUGGACCGGCUGCUACACAAGUUUUGCAGCUGCGGUUUGGACAUAGCUGCAACAGUUAUCUUUUUUUUUUUUAGAAACAGCUGUGAUCAAGUCAAUUUUUUCAGGCAUCCAGAUGAUUAUUAUCUUCUUGAAGUUGACUGUUUACGAGUCUCUUUAACCUCUGUAGUUACUGUGAAGACAGAUUGAAAACUCACUUCCAAACUCAAAUGAACAGCAAUGCUCUCUAUUCAGAGAUCAUGUGGAGAGAUCCCAGAGCUUUUUACACAUAUUUCUAUCAUGGCCGCUGGAACUGGAAGCACUGCUUUUUUCACUGUGAUUUGUAGCUUUGCUUCAAGGCGUGUACCCUUUUGCGCAAACAAGUUCUUCAACACUGGACUUGGUUUCAGUUUGGUCAUACUGCUUUGGGCUGUGGAUAGACUCGGGAGGUGAUUACUUAGCGCAUACUUCUUCCAUGGGUAAGACAUUCUGAUGUUUGAUUGUGUUCUUGCGAUCAAUGAGCCUUAAUCAGCAGCUCCUGCUGGUUGUGGCUUCUAAGUAAGCAACAAGAAAAAGAGUAAUUUCUGAGGAAGCAAAAGCCACAACCAAGUUCUUUAUAUUCUUAUAGGAAACAUCUUUGCUCCUAUGUAAACUAAAUAUGUUUGUCCAAUGACCUGAAGAAUAUAUAAAUUGGUUUUUGUUUGUGUGAUCAA